This 433-nucleotide ribosomal RNA is filed under the name uncultured bacterium. Its description in RNAcentral is "partial 16S ribosomal RNA". It matches the Rfam family "Bacterial small subunit ribosomal RNA", at positions 29 to 507 of the family's 1533-position model. The record is from RNAcentral.
AACGAACGCUGGCGGCAUGCCUAACACAUGCAAGUCGAACGAGACCUCCGGGUCUAGUGGCGCACGGGUGCGUAACGCGUGGGAACCUGCCCUUAGGUUCGGAAUAACUCCCCGAAAGGGGUGCUAAUACCGGAUAAUGUCUUCGGACCAAAGAUUUAUCGCCUUUGGAUGGGCCCGCGUUGGAUUAGCUAGUUGGUAGGGUAAAAGCCUACCAAGGCGACGAUCCAUAGCUGGUCUGAGAGGAUGAUCAGCCACACUGGGACUGAGACACGGCCCAGACUCCUACGGGAGGGAGGAGUGGGGAAUAUUGGACAAUGGGGGAAGGCCUGAUCCAGCAAGGCCGCGUAAGUGAUGAAGGCCUUAGGGUUGUAAAGCUCUUUUACCCGGGAUGAUAAUGACGGUACCGGGAGAAUAAGCACCGGCUAACUCCGUG